RNAcentral lists this transfer RNA (66 nucleotides) under Marmota monax (woodchuck). Its description in RNAcentral is "tRNA.Val". Lineage: Eukaryota; Metazoa; Chordata; Mammalia; Rodentia; Sciuridae. The record is from RNAcentral.
GGUUGUGGCUUAGCGGUAGAGCGCUCGCCUCACAUGUGUGAGACCCGGGUUUGAUCCUCAGCACCA